UUCCAGACAGGGAAGCUAAGAUACUGUAAGGGGAUGGUGUGAGAUCACAAAUUAUGUGGGUGGCAGAGUUGGUGUAUGUUACUCUUUUGAUAGCCAUUACUCUCUUCCACUGAUUAGAUAUACUCUUUUUGACACCUCACCAUGCUGACAGAAAAGCAGCAGUUAUUGAUGCGGUCCCAUUAUAUCACAAAAAGCUAAGCCUUAGUUGGAGGAGGAUGCAUUUAUAACUAAAAUAAUGUAUGUUCUGCAUUGGUGAUAUGCUGUUCUUAGCAUUGCUUAUUGCAAGUCUUAGGUACAAUUUAACUUCUCCUUGAGCAGUGACAAUUUUUUCAGUGUUCUACUAGUUCUAUAUAACCAUAAUCAUUUUUAAACAUUACCCUUAUUUGUCCAGAAUUAUUUACAUUAUCUCAUACACAUAUGUACCUUGGGCCUGAUUCUUCUGUCAGUUAUACUUUUACUGAAGACAGUGGAAUUAUUUCCAAUCUAGAACUGUAUGAAAGGAGAUGUAAGCCUUUUAUCUCUAUUUCUCUUACAGUACAGCACAUUAAUGCCUCUAUAACCUGUGCCAUUACUUGAAUCGAAGCAGUGAAUGAGAACAUCUGACAGUUGGAAAUACAAAAGCUGUCUUUGAUUAUUAUUGAACUUCUGUAGCUGAUGAGAUGUCAUCAGAAAUAGCAGGCAAGAGUAGGCUCUGCAAACAUUCCAUCUUAAUUAUGAGUCUUCCGAAGAAAAUAAUUUUUACAGAUUAUGGUGAAACUACAGGAAGCAGACUGAAUUUGGUAGGGCAGGAGAAGGAGUUUGGACAUAAAGAAGGUAGAGAGGGGAUCUUUGACAAUAGCAAUAAAUAGGUUAAUUGAUCUCUCUUUGUGAAAGUGGUCACUGAUAAGGUCAUGGCUCAGCAGCCCAAUUUAAAAUGUGCUUCAUUUUAAAAUGUCAGCAUUAAACAAGAGUGAUCAGACAUUGGAUAUUUGAGACUCAUUCUGAUACUUGCUUGCUGAACGAUGCAUCUAUUCUUGUGCUGGUUUGCGUAUUUCAUUUUAGUAAACAAAGAGCAUACUAAAAUCAUUUUAAUAAAAGUCUGUGGACACAAGAAAUUUGAGAACA
This 1104-nucleotide long non-coding RNA is filed under the name Anser brachyrhynchus (Pink-footed goose). RNAcentral describes it as "lncRNA (ENSABRG00000022562.1)". Lineage: Eukaryota; Metazoa; Chordata; Aves; Anseriformes; Anatidae. The record is from RNAcentral.